GUUGAUCAUGGCUCAGGAUGAACGCUAGCUACAGGCUUAACACAUGCAAGUCGAGGGCAGCAUAUCGAAGCUUGCUUGAUAGAUGGCGACCGGCGCACGGGUGAGUAACGCGUAUCCAACCUUCCCAUCACUCAGGGAUAGCCCGCCGAAAGGCGAAUUAAUACCUGAUGGUCUCCUUCGCGGACAUCUAACGAGGAGUAAAGAUUUAUUGGUGAUGGAUGGGGAUGCGUCUGAUUAGGUAGUAGGCGGGGUAACGGCCCACCUAGCCGACGAUCAGUAGGGUUCUGAGAGGAAGGUCCCCCACAUUGGAACUGAGACACGGUCCAAACUCCUACGGGAGGCAGCAGUGAGGAAUAUUGGUCAAUGGACGGAAGUCUGAACCAGCCAAGUAGCGUGCAGGAUGGCGGCCCUAUGGGUUGUAAACUGCUUUUGUGCGGGAAUAAAGUAUGGGACGUGUCCCAUUUUGCAUGUACCGCACGAAUAAGGACCGGCUAAUUCCGUGCCAGCCGCCGC
RNAcentral lists this ribosomal RNA (513 nucleotides) under uncultured bacterium. Its description in RNAcentral is "bacterial SSU rRNA". It matches the Rfam family "Bacterial small subunit ribosomal RNA", at positions 11 to 518 of the family's 1533-position model. The record is from RNAcentral.